Non-coding RNA from Calypte anna (Anna's hummingbird), 46 nucleotides. The record is from Rfam. Lineage: Eukaryota; Metazoa; Chordata; Aves; Apodiformes; Trochilidae.
ACUGAGGCUUUCCUAGAAGCCAUCAGAUGAUAUAAACAAGAAAUUU